Molecule: long non-coding RNA, 872 nt
Filed under: Callithrix jacchus (white-tufted-ear marmoset)
Lineage: Eukaryota; Metazoa; Chordata; Mammalia; Primates; Cebidae
Description: lncRNA (ENSCJAG00000078468.1)
Source: RNAcentral
CGUCAUUCUUUCACUUAUUGAGUCUUCCAUAGGGACAGCCACCUUUAAAGAAUAUAAAUCAUUGAGCAACCUGUUUCACUAUAAACCACAGGUAACUUCUCUGCCAGAAGUGAAAUCUAUUUUAAAUCAUAUUUAAAAGUAUUCAUAUAUUUAGAAAAUUUAAUUUUUCUAGCUUUUAAACAUGUUCAUGAAAAAAAUUUUUCGAACUGUUUAGAAAAACGGAAUCAUUUAGGAAGUCUACAAAAUGCCUGAAAAAAUUAGUUAAGUUAAGGUACUUUCUUACAUAGAAAAUUAAAUCACUCUAUAGAAUUAGAAACUAGAAUUCACUAGCUCUUUUAAGGCAGAAACCAUACCUAGCAAUUAGUAAAUUAUUAGCAAUCAUUUGUUGAAUAAAUGAAUAGAUGGAAUAUUAACAAAAUCAAGAUUGUAUUAGAUAAAAUGUAUAAUUAAGUAAUAGUAAAAUUAUGUAAUUCUUUAAGCGCUAGAUAACAUGAUUUUGACUUAUCCAGUGGAAUUUUUGGUGGAUAUAUCUUCACCUACAAGAAAAGCAUCUUGGGAAAUUAUUGGGAUGAUUGGUAUGAAUAAUCUAUAAAAUUGUUCCUCGUAUCUUUAUAUUCACACUGUCUUGGUUGUUUUGCUUUUUUAAAACAUAGUUUCAGAGCCAUCUAUUGUAAAGAGAACUUCAAAAUGUCAAGGAGAAUUCACUACCUACAGAAUGAAGGAAAGACCAUGUGAGGACACAGUGAGGAGGCAGCCAUCUGCACGCCAGGAAGAAAGGCUUCCUUGCUUGAUCUUGGACUUCUGGCCUCCAGAAAUGAACUCACCUGGAGUGUCCAUGAAGGUCAUACUAUUGACAUACUUCUGAAAAAUAG